Molecule: ribosomal RNA, 492 nt
Filed under: uncultured bacterium
Lineage: Bacteria
Description: partial 16S ribosomal RNA
Rfam family: Bacterial small subunit ribosomal RNA
Source: RNAcentral
AGUGAACGCUGGCGGUAGGCCUAACACAUGCAAGUCGAACGGCAGCACAGUAAGAGCUUGCUCUUACGGGUGGCGAGUGGCGGACGGGUGAGGAAUACAUCGGAAUCUACUUUUUCGUGGGGGAUAACGUAGGGAAACUUAUGCUAAUACCGCAUACGACCUACGGGUGAAAGCAGGGGAUCUUCGGACUUUGCGCGAUUGAUUGAGCCGAUGUCGGAUUAGCUAGUUGGCGAGGUAAAGGCCCACCAAGGCGACGAUCCGUAGCUGGUCUGAGAGGAUGAUCAGCCACACUGGAACUGAGACACGGUCCAGACUCCUACGGGAGGCAGCAGUGGGGAAUAUUGGACAAUGGGCGCAAGCCUGAUGCAGCCAUACCGCGUGGGUGAAGAAGGCCUUCGGGUUGUAAAGCCCUUUUGUUGGGAAAGAAAAGCAGCAGGUGAAUACCCCGCUGUUCUGACGGUACCCAAAGAAUAAGCACCGGCUAACUUCGUG